AUAUCAAUAAGCGGAGGAAAAGAAACUAACAAGGAUUCCCUCAGUAACGGCGAGUGAAGCGGGAAGAGCUCAAAUUUAAAAUCUGGCUUAUGCCCGAGUUGUAUUCUAUAGAAGUGUUUUCCUUUGAGUACCGAGAUACAAGUCUUCUGGAAAGAAGCAUCAUAGAGGGUGAGAAUCCCGUCCAUGAUCUCGAGUGGCUUGAUUUUGUGAUACACUUUCUACGAGUCAGGUUGUUUGGGAAUGCAGCCUAAAAUGGGUGGUAAAUUUCAUCUAAAGCUAAAUAUUGGCGAGAGACCGAUAGCGAACAAGUACCGUGAGGGAAAGAUGAAAAGAACUUUGAAAAGAGAGUUAAACAGUACGUGAAAUUGUUGAAAGGGAAACGUUUGAAACCAGUCAGUUGACUUGUAAUCAAUCUAUCUCGCGAUGGAUGCACUUGCAAGUUUUACUCGUCAAUGUCAGUUUGAUGGGUUGGAAAAAAGUUAGUGAAAUGUGGCUACCUUCGGGUAGUGUUAUAGUCAUUAGCAAAAUACAACCUGUUGGACUGAGGAAUGCAGUUGAAAUGUCGGCUUCGGCUUCUAAUCAACUUAGGUCAUUGACUUAAUGGUUUUAAAUGA
This 614-nucleotide ribosomal RNA is filed under the name uncultured fungus. RNAcentral describes it as "eukaryotic LSU rRNA". It matches the Rfam family "Eukaryotic large subunit ribosomal RNA", at positions 40 to 647 of the family's 3401-position model. The record is from RNAcentral. Lineage: Eukaryota; Fungi.